Long non-coding RNA from Myotis daubentonii (Daubenton's bat), 1957 nucleotides. RefSeq lists it as uncharacterized. The record is from RefSeq and is a predicted model, not a curated record. Lineage: Eukaryota; Metazoa; Chordata; Mammalia; Chiroptera; Vespertilionidae.
CUAAAAAGCACAACUCCAACUAGAUAGAUACUUUGAAUGUUUGAGGUGAUAUUUGUGUUGGCAUUUUACAUUUUAAUAAAAUCAUAAGGGAAAGGUUUUCUACAUUUUAAAGUUAAGAUUACCUUAGAAUAUAUACCUUCCUCCAUUAUUUUAGUUCCAGAUUAAAUGGAUUCAAAUCGACUACAAACAGUACAUUGGGAUGCACCCUUUUUAUGUCAAACUCAUGUCAGUGGUAAUUGGGAAGUUUGGAAAUUAGAAAUGUUUGUGUUAUGUAAACAUUUCUGGCCUGAGCCACCCAUUUUACAGCUCCCACCAUGCUUCAAAUACAGGCACAAAGGGGCUUCCAGGUGACUUGCAAAUGCCCUGUCACUACUAACCCUUUGAGUCAAAUUAUAGUUGCAUUAAAGUUAAGCAUAUUCAACUACAUGCCCUUCCCAAAUAAAAAAUGAGUGAGGAAGAGAACAGCAAUUUAAAUAAGCUUAGCCAGGGGUGAGCAUCAAGUGAAAAAUUGGAAUUUAAUGUUUCCCCGGUUGAUUGCCAUUCCUAUGAGCAGCUCACUACAGAAUAUAAUUAUAUUGUUUACAUGUUGAACACAUACUCUUUUUAUAUGAAUUAUGACCCCUGAUUUUGUGCAUUUAUAUUUAAACUCUAUAGGGUUAAUUAUGUAAAGCUAUGUUUUAAUUUCUGGGCAAUUCUUUUCAGUAAUUCAGGUAAGAGUGAUAUUUUUCACCUGACUUUUUCUAAUUCCCCAGAUAAAAUGGGACUCCAGUUUACAAAACUUUUAUGUGCAAUUUGGCCCUGUUAGUAUUCGGGGCUUUUAGCAACAUGUUUCAAGCUAUUUUAGGUAGAUAGAACAGUUCCACAGAGUAAAGGGUAUUUAGACAUGGAGACUUAUAAUGAGGGCCUGGGCCCUCAUAUGGCCAGAAUAUAAAGCAAGCAACAUAUUUGAGCCUUAAUCUGUAUUUUUUUCCUUAUAAAACUCAUUUUUAACUCGUGUUAAGGUCUCAUACAAGUUUUGGAAUAAGAGUAAUAUCUUUGUUAUAGUUUUUCUUAAAUUUAGAACUUGUAUAUAAUGAAUGAUGUGAGUUUUCUUUUCAUUGUUUAAUUGUGUUGUAAUUUCUUUGGUUAUGAAAUUAAUGUAGCUCUGCUAGUAAAGAAAAAAAAAGCUUAGUAGCAGUGCUGGGAUUGUAGGGCAAAUUAUGGUUUCCUAUACUUAUAUAUUUUUAAGUUACAUUAUCAGUAAUCAUAAAGCGCUAUCAUUGUUUUGCAUUUAGGUACCACUCAGACCUGGAAAAAUUUGAAAGUAACCAGUUUUCCUAAAACAGUUUUCUAUAUCUUGUGUUAUUCAAGGGGAUUAAAUUUUAAAAUAGUACAUUACUUGGGACCAUUAUCCAUAUAUUAGGUAUUAUAUAUUGUACUACAUAUUAUGUAGGUUCAUCCACAUAUAGUCCUUAAAUUUAAUAAGAUUAUUAAACUGCAGUGGGGGUGUCUGCAUAUCUAUAAAUUCUAAAUUAUGUAAUCUAUAAAUAGUGCUUGAAGUUUUAUUAAUUGUAUGUAAUUCUUGCAAAUUUUAUAUCCAAAAAAAUUUUAAUGUUUCUGUUGAUUUAAGAGAAAGGGGAGAGGGAGAGAGAGAUAGAAACAUCAGUGACAAGAGAAUCAUCUGUUGGCUGCCUCUUGCACACCCCCCAUUGGGGACCGCAACCUGGGCAUGUGCCCUGACCAGGAAUCAAACCAUGACUUCCUGGUUCAUAGGUAAAUGAUCAGCUAUGAGCCACACCGGUGGACAGGCAAAAAAAAAUUUUUAAAUGCUUAUAACCAGGUGCCUCACCUGGCCAAAUAAAAUUGUAAUAAAGUACCUCCAGAUAUUUGCCUUUCAACAAGGUUAUUUCCCUGAAAACAUUCAGGAGACAUUUUUGAAAGGAAUUCAAAUUAAGGCAGAAUUAUUUAAAAUUAUAAA